AUUGAACGCUGGCGGCAGGCCUAACACAUGCAAGUCGAGCGGAUGAAGGGAGCUUGCUCCUGGAUUCAGCGGCGGACGGGUGAGUAAUGCCUAGGAAUCUGCCUGGUAGUGGGGGAUAACGUCCGGAAACGGGCGCUAAUACCGCAUACGUCCUGAGGGAGAAAGUGGGGGAUCUUCGGACCUCACGCUAUCAGAUGAGCCUAGGUCGGAUUAGCUAGUUGGUGGGGUAAAGGCCUACCAAGGCGACGAUCCGUAACUGGUCUGAGAGGAUGAUCAGUCACACUGGAACUGAGACACGGUCCAGACCCCUACGGGAGGCAGCAGUGGGGAAUAUUGGACAAGGGGCGAAAGCCUGCGCCAGCCAUGCCGCGUGGGUGAAGAAGGCCUUCGGAUGGUAAAGCACUUUAAGUGGGGAGGAAGGGCAGUAAGUUAAUACCUUGCUGUUUUGACGUUACCAACAGAAUAAGCACCGGCUAACUUCGU
Molecule: ribosomal RNA, 483 nt
Filed under: uncultured bacterium
Lineage: Bacteria
Description: partial 16S ribosomal RNA
Rfam family: Bacterial small subunit ribosomal RNA
Source: RNAcentral